AAGCUGACCAAUGCAGACGCGGCCAAUAGACAGAGAGAAAGGAAGGAAGGUAGCACAGUGUUUAAAAGUGAACCCAGAAAUUCAGCUGUGGUUUCGCCACUCAUGCAUGGGAACAUCUCAAGGCCGACGCAGAACCUCUCCAAGCCCACAUCCUUCACUGAAAAUGCAGAAAACGACAGAGCAGCUGCAUAGGGGAGUUGUCAGCUGUGAACACAGGCCCACCAAGUCAGACGCUGCUAUUUCUGUUGCUGCGGUUGGCACUGCAACAAGGGACAGGGACUCAGAAUCAGUGGAUGACCUGCAGUACCUGUGGUUCCUCGCUGUCACACAGGGUUGAAGGUUUUUCCGAUCUGCAACCCAUCACAUGCUCCCCUGAGAACCACAUCCAAGUUCUGAAAGUCUUCUUCCCCUAACCCCAUGCCAACCUGAGCUAGCCACCUGCAAGAUGAGAUGCCAUGUGGGAGACAAGGAAGGUUCUUCAUUCAAUAGCCAGGCUCCUGCCAAAUGUGAAUGAGACUGAUAGGAAUCAGCCAGCCCCAGAAGACUCAUCUAUUGAUUGCACAGCCAGCAGCUGAUCAUAACAAUGUGAUCCACUGUAGCAGAGAAGUAGAAGAAUCACCCAGCUGAGCCCAACCCAGUUUACUGACUCAUACAA
Heterocephalus glaber (naked mole-rat) is the source of this 655-nucleotide non-coding RNA. NCBI's taxonomy places the organism in Eukaryota, Metazoa, Chordata, Mammalia, Rodentia, Bathyergidae. The record is from RefSeq and is a predicted model, not a curated record.